This 494-nucleotide ribosomal RNA is filed under the name uncultured bacterium. RNAcentral's name for it is "partial 16S ribosomal RNA". It matches the Rfam family "Bacterial small subunit ribosomal RNA", at positions 28 to 507 of the family's 1533-position model. The record is from RNAcentral.
GACGAACGCUGGCGGCGUGCUUAACACAUGCAAGUCGAACGGUGAAGCGCCUUCCUUUUUGGUGGGUGUGGAUGAGUGGCGAACGGGUGAGUAACACGUGAGUAACCUGCCCCCUUCUUCUGGAUAACCGCAUGAAAGUGUGGCUAAUACGGGAUAUUCUGGGUCUGUCGCAUGAUGGGUCUGGGAAAGAUAUUGUUUCGGUGGGGGAUGGGCUCGCGGCCUAUCAGCUUGUUGGUGGGGUGAUGGCCUACCAAGGCGGUGACGGGUAGCCGGCCUGAGAGGGUGGACGGUCACACUGGGACUGAGACCCGGCCAAGACUCCGACGGGGGGCAGCAGUGGGGAAUAUUGCACAAUGGGCGCAAGCCUGAUGCAGCGACGCCGCGUGAGGGAUGGAGGCCUUCGGGUUGUGAACCUCUUUCGCCAGUGAAGCAGGCCUGCCUCGUUUGUGGGUGGGUUGACGGUAGCUGGAUAAGAAGCGCCGGCUAACUACGUG